GAAGAAGUAAAAAUAAGGACUGGGAUGUAGCUCCAGGGUAAAGCAUACCUGGGUUCAAGCCUCAGUACCAAAAAAAAAAAAAAAAAAGAAAAAGAAAAAAAAUCUCCCAAUGGCUUCCCAAUUAAGAGGAUAACUCCCCCUUUUAUUAUAUAGUCUAUCAUUCUGAAUUUGGGGGUUCUGCAUCUAAACAUUCAACUCACGACAAAUGAAAAAUGAUUUGUGUGAGGCUGAGGAUUUGAACCCAGCCUCUGCAAUUUAGCCAGACCUUGUCUAAAACUAAGGAAUAAAAGGCAAGGGAUAUGGGGUUGAUGCUUAGUGGUAGAAUGCUUGCUUAGCAUGCAUGAGGCCCUGGGUUCAAUCUCCCAUAAAACACACACACACACACACACACACAAUGUUUAAAUUGCACCUGUACCAAACAUGUUGACUUUUUCUUGUCACUAUUCCACUAAACAACAUAGUAUAGCAACUAUUUACAUAACUUUUACAUUGUGUUAUGAAUUUAAAUAACCAAAAGGUGAUUUAAAGUAUGGGACUAUGUGCAUAGAAUAUAAGCAAAUACUGUACCAUUUUAUAUAAGGUAUCUUAGUAUAUAUGGUGGGAGGGCUCCCUAAUAUCCACACAUACUGAGGGAAAAGUGCAUUUUCUGCUGUUCUAGCCACAAACACCUGCAGUUUCCUUCCCACGUCAAGAUCUUGACAUGAAAUUCAUCUUUAAAGUUUUUACAAUUCCAUACUUUAAAAUGAGGUCCUGUUAGCUCUUCUUAGGUUCUGUCCCCACAUUUAUCCUUUGGCUUUCAGUUUUGUCUCCAAAACAUUUUAAUUAGGUACUCCUGUUGUAAACCUUGAUUAAUAUUCAUAUGCACACCAUCUCCAAAUACACUCAAAUAGGAUAAUGGUACAUACACUGUUUUGAACCAUUUUUUUCCGUACAAACAUUGCAACAUUCUUUUCUAUCAGUUUUUACAGAUGUGCCUUACCCUUCUGUUAUUAUUUCAUGAUGUGACUGUACCAUAAUUCACCAUUUUCCCAAAAGCUGUUCUAAUUUUUUAUUACUAUUAAUGCUAUAAUGGACAUUUUUGUAUGUGUGAAUUUAGGAUUUGUGUAUUUAUGUAAGAUGAAUUGUAAUCC
RNAcentral lists this long non-coding RNA (1130 nucleotides) under Marmota monax (woodchuck). The record is from RNAcentral. Lineage: Eukaryota; Metazoa; Chordata; Mammalia; Rodentia; Sciuridae.